This 335-nucleotide unclassified non-coding RNA is filed under the name soil metagenome. RNAcentral's name for it is "partial contains 5.8S ribosomal RNA, internal transcribed spacer 2, and large subunit ribosomal RNA". The stretch from base 1 to 119 matches the Rfam family "5.8S ribosomal RNA", at positions 35 to 154 of the family's 154-position model. The record is from RNAcentral.
GAUGAAGACGUAGCGAAAUGCGAUAAGUAAUGUGAAUUGCAGAAUUCAGUGAAUCAUCGAAUCUUUGAACGCACAUUGCGCCCGCCAGUAUUCUGGCGGGCAUGCCUGUUCGAGCGUCAUUUCAACCAUCAAGCCCCCGGCUUGUGUUGGGGACCUGCGGCUGCCGCAGGCCCUGAAAAGCAGUGGCGGGCUCGCUGUCACACCGAGCGUAGUAGAUUUCAUCUCGCUCAGGGCGUGCUGCGGGUUCCGGCCGUUAAACCACCUUCAUAACCCAAGGUUGACCUCGGAUCAGGUAGGAAGACCCGCUGAACUUAAGCAUAUCAAUAAGCGGAGGA